GCGGGCGUGGUGAAACUGGUAGACGCGCUGGAUUCAAAAUCCAGUUCCGCAAGGAGUGUCGGUUCGAGCCCGACCGCCCGCACCA
RNAcentral lists this transfer RNA (85 nucleotides) under Phenylobacterium haematophilum. Its description in RNAcentral is "tRNA-Leu". It matches the Rfam family "tRNA". Rfam says of the family: Transfer RNA (tRNA) molecules are approximately 80 nucleotides in length. Their secondary structure includes four short double-helical elements and three loops (D, anti-codon, and T loops). The record is from RNAcentral. RNAcentral also lists the same sequence under 2 other names. Lineage: Bacteria; Pseudomonadati; Pseudomonadota; Alphaproteobacteria; Caulobacterales; Caulobacteraceae.